AAAAGUAGAAAAACUUUAAUUUGAUUAAUUUCAUACCGUGCAGCGUAUGGAGAAGCCGAGUGAAUGUUGUUGAGUCACAUUUCACUCCAGGCUUAUAGUGAAUCGCGUGGGUAUUCCUCGUUCACCAACGCCAUUGCUGGCUGACGCGUGUCUGUGAGACGUGCUUGGGUGAAAGCAAAAGAUGAUUAAUAUAGAGUUCACCGGCGCCAUUAUUGGUCACAUGCGCCUGUGUGAAGAAGACGAAUAGGAUUGUUCUAGAGGUAAAUUAGUGUAAUAUAUAAUGUCUUGAAACACAUAUUUGUGUGUUUAAUUGUUUAUUUUGAUUGUUUCGAUCUUUGAUGUGAAGUUAUUUCUGAAAUCACUAAAUGAAUGCUCUGGUCUGUGAUCAGGCCAGGUUUUUUUUUGUCCCUUUCUUUUUUUUUCUUCUUCCUUGUAUUUCUAUUUUUUUCCUUGGUUCUGGAUUGUGAUCUUCUGCGAUAUCCUGUGAAAUUCACGUUUGAUGGCGAGCCACCCGAAUCUGAUACAGAGAAGAAAAGACAACAAUUCAUAAAGAAGAGGACAAUAUCCUUUCUUUCAUUCUCCAGUCUUGCUUUAAGCAAGACAAUUCCUAUUAGAGACUAUUAAAUACUUUCUUUUUUUUUUAGAUUGACAAAUACAGGGAUUGACAGGAUCCGUGCUUUGAAGAGCAUUUAACACUCUUGAUGGUGUAUGGUUACACAUAGCCAUAAGUUUGAUUGAAAUUGAUAUGUGAUAUUUUGAGAAAAGUGUUUUAAAAA
This is a long non-coding RNA of Carassius carassius (crucian carp), 776 nucleotides long. RefSeq lists it as uncharacterized. Lineage: Eukaryota; Metazoa; Chordata; Actinopteri; Cypriniformes; Cyprinidae. The transcript is spliced from 2 exons. The record is from RefSeq and is a predicted model, not a curated record.